This 406-nucleotide ribosomal RNA is filed under the name uncultured bacterium. Its description in RNAcentral is "partial 16S ribosomal RNA". It matches the Rfam family "Bacterial small subunit ribosomal RNA", at positions 30 to 526 of the family's 1533-position model. The record is from RNAcentral.
AUUGAACGCUGGCGGCAGGCCUAACACAUGCAAGUCGAACGAGUGGCGGACGGGUGAGUAAUUUCUGGGAAACUGCCCGCUGGAGGGGGAUAACUACUGGAAACGGUAUCUAAUACCGCAUACCAUCCGAUGUUCUCAGAGGGGUUUAGCUAGUCGGUGGGGUAAUGGCUCACCUACGCGACGAUCCCUAGCUGGUCUGAGAGGAUGACCAGCCAAACUGGUACUGAGAAACGGGCCAGCUUCCUACGGGAGGCAGCAGUGGGGAAGAUUGCGCAAUGGGCGAAAGCCUGAUGCAGCAAUGCCGCGUGUAUGAAUAAGGCCUUCGGGUUGUAAAGUACUUUCAGCGGGGAGGCGUUACCCGCAGAAGAAGCACCGGCUAACUACGUGCCAGCAGCCGCGGUAAUAC